This 398-nucleotide ribosomal RNA is filed under the name uncultured bacterium. RNAcentral's name for it is "bacterial SSU rRNA". It matches the Rfam family "Bacterial small subunit ribosomal RNA", at positions 28 to 430 of the family's 1533-position model. The record is from RNAcentral.
GACGAACGCUGGCGGCGUGCUUAACACAUGCAAGUCGAGCGGUAAGGCCCUUUCGGGGGUACACGAGCGGCGAACGGGUGAGUAACACGUGGGUGACCUGCCCUUAGCUCUGGGAUAAGCCUGGGAAACUGGGUCUAAUACCGGAUAUGACUCCAUGACGCAUGUUGUGGGGUGGAAAGCCUUGUGCGGCUAGGGAUGGGCCUGCGGCCUAUCAGCUUGUUGGUGGGGUGAUGGCCUACCAAGGCGACGACGGGUAGCCGGCCUGAGAGGGCGACCGGCCACACUGGGACUGAGACACGGCCCAGACUCCUACGGGAGGCAGCAGUGGGGAAUCUUGCGCAAUGGGCGAAAGCCUGACGCAGCGACGCCGCGUGGGGAUGACGGCCUCGGUCGUAACC